CCAAACCCAAAUAUUAAAAAUGAUGCUAUUAAAAAAGUGUGCAGUGCAUCAACUCUUCAUUUAACGGAUUAAAGUUUGAAUCGGACAGCAGCCAAUCAAAUUGUGCCAGCGGAGAAAAAGUUGCGCGUGGCAGUGCAGAGGAACGUCAAUGGGUGAAUUCAGAUUGAGCUAUUGGAAAUUUUCGGAUAUACAGAAUACGCUGUAGUCAACAAAAACAGAUUGCAACUUGCAAAACAAGCGGGAAGAAAAUUACAGAUGGAGGUGCAACAACUUCCAACUUUGUUCUACAUUUGAAGCUGCCCAAAGGACGGUAAAUCGUGGCUAAUAUAGCCGACAGCUAUAUAUAACCUUGCUAGUAUAACAUGUAGGCUAACAUAACGUUAAAUCAUUGAGCCUCCACACAGUCAACCAGUGCGGGAACUUGGUCAUUGCACCCAAGAUUGAGACCAGGCAAGAUUGUGCUACUGCCCCGCUCAAUUAUUUUUUUAUAUGCUUACAGAUUUGAACAAUACCAGAUGAACAAAAGUGUAACAAGUGAACCACAACAAUCUCCAAUCUCACAGUUCACGGAGACCCGUGUAAGGCAGUACAGCAUGAAUCAUCCACAGCAGAAAGCUAUCAACAAUGCAAUACUGUCCGACCUGGUUAUCGAUUGCAACUUGACUCUGUAUAUUGUGGAAAACAAGAGUUUUCGUCACAUUCUGUCAGUGGUUGACAGUAAGUACAGCCCAGUGUGUCGUAGAACAUUGACAUCAAAAGUUGAGAACCUCGCUACAGAGAGACGUUCAAAACUGAAAUCUCAGUUGAGCAACACAGACUAUGUUUCAGUCACAGUGAACAUUUGGUCUGACCAAAGGAUGAGGGGGUUCCUUGGUGUCACUGUGCACUGUAUGGAGAGAGGAUACAGCUCAAGUCCAAUCUCUUGGACUGUCUCCGCUUCAAAGGCCCACACACUGCUGAAAGAAUCUGUGAGCAAGUUGAAGCCAUAUGUGGUGAGUACAGUGUUAAAGAUAAAUGAGACUAUAUCAUUAGUGACAAUGCUCCCAACAUGAGAAAAGCAUUCAUGGUGUGCUUCCCCAUUGAACAAGAAGAUGAAGUACAUGACGAAGAUCACCUUGAUGACCCAGAGCUCUGGAAUGACCUAACCCUGGAAGACCAGCAAACAGUGAAUGCUGCUAUUGCAAAAAAGCAGCGCUUGCAGUGUUUUGCUCACACUCUCCAGCUGGUGGUGGGAGAUGGCUUGAAAGAAACAAAAGUGAUGACUCCUCUUUCAAAGUUAUCAAAAAUCAGCUCACUGCUACAUACAAGCACAACAUUCAAAGAGGUGUUUGAGGCUGAAUUUGGGGAAAGAGGCAUCCCUGCUGCUGUCAACACACGAUGGAACUCAACACUGAGACAAGUGAAGGCAGUUAUACCAAUGUGCUCAUCGAAAGCUCAGUCAUGUUCUAGAAAAGGCUGGGUACAAGGAGUUGUUGUUCACAGUACGGGAGUGGAAUAAGUUGAAGGAGUUGGUGGACAUCCUGAGGCCAAUUGGAGAAGCAACAGAUAUGACACAGGGGAGAAGAUAGUCACAGUCAGUUCUGUUGUUCCCUCGGUCCUGUCUCUGAAUCACCACCUGGAGCAGCGGAAGCCUCAAGUCCAUUUCCUGAGCGGCCUGGUCAGAAGUCUCCAGGCAUCCCUGAACAAAAGAUUUCUUGGAAUCUUCAUCAAUGUGAAGAUGGCCAGGACACAAGAUGGAAUCGCUGCCCCCUUUUCAGAUUCAGUCUACCUCAAAGCAGCUGCCUUGGAUCUGGAUUUUGCUCUGAUGUGGAACACCAUGUGCUGGUCAAGGAGGUGGCACAAAGAGUGAAAGAACUGAUUCUGCAAGAUGCUACAGGGACUGAGCAAGCUGUGCUUCUUGUUGAUGAGGAAGUGCGAGAGGACCAUAGUCUUGGACAAGAAGAAGGGCUGUUUGCAGCAUACUGUAAGAGGCAGAAGAAAGCUGUUGAUACCACUCCAGCACUACAGCUAAGUCACUACCUUGACAUAUGCGAAGGACAGAAUGCCCUCUUGUUCUGGGCAAUGAACAGGAAGGCUCUUCCUUCGCUCUCCCGAGUGGCCAUCAGACUUGGCAGUGCCUGCCUCCAGUGCUCCGGUGGAGCGUGUCUUCAGCCAUGGUGGCAUCAUACUGUGGCCUCAUCGUGCACAAAUAUCUGACUGACUUUUAGCUAAUUUGGUCUUUUGCAAAUGCAAUGCAUCAUAGGGCCCUGAGAUAAGAGAAAAAAUGAAACUGUUUAUGCAUUACACACACACACACACACACGUAGUCUCCAUGUUCAGGUUUUAUCUCCCAUCUUUGGGAUCUGUAUUUUUUUCUCAGACAUUCAGGCCGGCGUUCAAAUUGUUGGCCUAUUUGAAGUUCAGUGUCAGUUGUUUGAUGUACCUUUUAAUAAAUGAUUUUAACUUUGUGGCAGGAUUGUUUUACGUGUCUAGAGUAUAUCUGGAGAGCGAGAGCACUACAAUAUUUAGUUUUUGUUGUCAUAUUGAUGUCUUUCUCAUGGCUACCCAUGUACUUCCAUGGAAAUAAAGUUUAUUUGGAAAGUAAUAAAUAUAUAAUUUUAAAAGCAUU
Molecule: long non-coding RNA, 2608 nt
Organism: Oncorhynchus masou masou (cherry salmon)
Lineage: Eukaryota; Metazoa; Chordata; Actinopteri; Salmoniformes; Salmonidae
Exons: 2
Source: RefSeq, a predicted model, not a curated record